CUUAUGUUUGUAAACAUUCCUUCGGUUACAAUGGGUAUCGUCAGUGGGUGAACCCGCACAUAUUGAAACAAGCUGGAACCUUUCGUAGAGUGAACAUAUGAAAUAUGGCUUCAGACAAGCUGUCUUCAGCUUAGAGAGUCCUCAUGGUCCUGGGGGGUGUGUUCUUCACAUGGCAGAAGGCUUCUGGAGGUUUCUUGGCAUCUACUGGAUACAACCAAGUAGUUAACAUUUAUGACCCAUAUGGGAAUCUCCGAGAACAGAUACAUUUACCAGGUGUGUGUUCAGGAUUUGGCUGGGACAAAGAUGGAGCUCUUGUCCAUCAUCAAUGACAGGUCACCUCUUGUCCAUGUCUGGGAUGCUAACUCUGGAAGGGUACAGCACUUGGACUCUGGUCUCCGGACACAUUAACAUUCUUAGCAUGGUCACGCUGGCUCCUCUCCUUGCUGUUGGCA
Long non-coding RNA from Homarus americanus (American lobster), 452 nucleotides. RefSeq lists it as uncharacterized. Lineage: Eukaryota; Metazoa; Arthropoda; Malacostraca; Decapoda; Nephropidae. The record is from RefSeq and is a predicted model, not a curated record. The transcript has 4 exons.